Molecule: ribosomal RNA, 117 nt
Filed under: Setaria italica (foxtail millet)
Lineage: Eukaryota; Viridiplantae; Streptophyta; Magnoliopsida; Poales; Poaceae
Source: RNAcentral
UCUGGUGUCCUAGGCGUAGAGGAACCACACCAAUCCAUCCCGAAUUUGGUGGUUAAACUCUACUGCGGUGAUGAUACUGUAGGGGAGGUCGUGCGGCAAAAUAGCUCGAUGCCAGAA